This 158-nucleotide ribosomal RNA is filed under the name uncultured bacterium. RNAcentral describes it as "partial 16S ribosomal RNA". It matches the Rfam family "Bacterial small subunit ribosomal RNA", at positions 355 to 509 of the family's 1533-position model. The record is from RNAcentral.
UGAGGAAUAUUGGUCAAUGGCCGGAAGGCUGAACCAGCCAAGCCGCGUGAAGGACGAAAGGUGCCAAGCAUUGUAAACUUCUUUUGUCAAGGGACAAAAUCAGGCUCGAGAGCCUGACCGAGGGUACUUGAAGAAAAAGCAUCGGCUAACUCCGUGCC